UAAAGCCCGAAAAAGAUAUGUGACACUAUUCUUACCUAAUUUACAUUGAUUUUGUUAAAAUUAUACUAUUACUAUAUUUAUUUCUAACUUAAAAAUCUUAUUCAAAUUUUUUUUUCAGGUAUUUUCGGAGGAUUUUACGCCUGAAUUAGAUAUACCACUCGGUACACUGUAUCGUACCAUACCGAGCAAAGCUCAAAACUCUGAUACGAGACAAAAUUUCAAUCCUUGGUUGGUACCAUUUUGAAGUUCACAGUUUUUGCCUUUCUUCUAUAAAUUCUCCCUAGCUAGUUCAUAACAUAAGGUUUAAUAGUCUAAGUGUUUCUCUACUGCCUGCCACCUGUAAUCUUUCUGAAGAAUAUCCUGAAUGUUUUGACUGAUGCUCCUUGAUACAGCAAUGAGACAUUAAACUUGUUGCAUUGCAUGUCUAUGCUAACUGUGCUGACUGAAUAAUUUGUAUUAAUGGGACAAGGAUGCUUACCUCUCCGCCAUAACUAAUGUUCUGUAUCAAGUACCGAAUUCUCAUGAAUAUAUAGUCAUAAUGGAGACACCACAUUGCAUUUUAUUCUUUGGUUCCGAAACUAUAGCCAAAAGUUAUUUAUUUUCAUCAAGGUUUUAAGUGCCAAUUCAGAUUAAUACGUAUGAGCAUUGAAACAUAUAUCAUAAUAGAUGUAUACAUACAAUUUAUUCUCUGUUUCUUUUAUUCAAUAAUAUUAGGCAAUAUGAGUUGGUAUAUUGGUACACUGGUCCAAUAGGUUAUGAAACCAGCAUCGACAUAAAACCUCUCAAUAGGGAACAAAAAACUAUUCUAUCAGCUUUUUUCCCUUCAAUUGUUUCUACUUAUAUAGCAUUGAAAGGCAUAGUAUUUUACUUGAAAAAGAAGAAACUCAUACUGGGUAGGUUUCCAGAAUUACUGUCUAUUCAAUAUACCUAGCUUUAGUUGAAUAUAACAUAAUACUUGCAGUAUUUGUUUGUUGUGGAAAUAGUUGCAUGUCCACUACAAUUUAGAUGAAGCACUUUUAGCUUCCUUAUAUUUUCUCUCCAAUAUGUAAUUGUUCUAGUAUAUAAAAAAUGGUUUGACACUGUGUGAUAGUUUAUAUAUUUUAUUCUGUAUAAGGCUUCUAUUAUGAUGGGUAUUUUAUACCCAAACAUUAGACUUGGAAGUUCAGAAUUUGUGAUCACUGUCAUGAAGUAGCUGAAGAUAUAUUUAACAGGGAAUGGGGAUGAAAUGAAUAGGUGUACUGUAUCUUAGUGGUUAGUUUCAAAUGAAGAGGUAGAUUAAUUCAUUUUUCCAUGAUAAUAAAUGCUAAACACCAGCAUGAUAUGUGAAAAAUCUACUCAAUAUCCAGGAUGUGAUUAAUUAGUUUUUUUAGUGCAGUACUACUUUUGAGUAUUUUGACUAUUGGUCAAGUCUCAUAGACAUUUUGGCUUCAACUGACUUGUAAUUACCUAGGACAUGAUUCAUGCAAAACACUGUACAUUAUCCAGGGCGGAAUGUGAAAAGUAUUACUCAUAAUACAAGACAUGACACCAAGAGAAUUUGUAGCAUUAACAUAGCCAUGGGUUGAAUUUUCAUGCAUGACUUUGUGUUAUCUGAUGGCUUGCAUGGUACAUGCCACAUGCAAAACAUGGUGAAUGGCUGUGUGUUGAUAUAAAUAUUAAAAGAAAAUAAAAAGAAAGUGUAGGGACCAAAAAAACAUCAAAGAAAAAAAUUUAAAGAAACCAAAAAGAGAAAAAAAGCUGAUUUUCUCAAUAUAAAAACAUAAGAUGAUUUAAAAUCAGAAAAAAAAUUGUCUCCAAGUUUUGGAUGGAUGACAAGGUUCUUGAUGGAAUUUAUUCCUUAGUGAUCAUUCAAUUACAUAGGAUUCAUUACUACAGCUCCUUAUCGACAGCAAAAAAGAUUUGAGAGGGAAGAAGAUGAAGAAAGAAAUGACUAAGGAAUCAAUUAAGCAAAUAUGAAAUUUAUACAACUACACCUUUUCUAAAGAAAUGUGUGUUUUUUCAAUACAGAGGAGUGUUUUUUAUUAAAUGUAAAAUCCCUACUUUUAUUUCCAUUCUUUCUGCCUGAAAUCAUGCUUUUCAGCCAAAACACUGUUAAAAACCUGAUACUGUCCUUCUCCUGUUAUAAUCCUGAGACCUUCUAUUGUCAUUUUUGGUUGUGAUCAUAACAUUAUUUUGUCUAUUUUCUCUUUAUACUACAAUAUCAGUAUAAGGAUUCCUUGUCAAGAAACAUUCUUUUGUCAACAAACAACAUUAUUCAGUGAAUCCUUCUAUUGUCAUUUCUGUUAUUCUGUUUCUUGUGGACUCCUUGAUGCAUGAGAUUUGUUGCCAAGUAACCCUUGUUUAUUGGUUGAACUGCGAAACAGCUUUCUCCUGCUGAUUCUGAUGUAUGUUUGAGGAGAUGUAGCUUUAGAACCUAAUGUUUAGAUUAGCGUAUGUGAUGCAUGUGUCUGUUAUUUUUAUUGGAUUUGUCUACUUCUCUACCUUGAGGCUGGUUGGCUGAACUCACCUUCUUAUCUUCUUUUCUAAAUGAAAUUACUUUGCAUUUGUGUAUACAUAAUCUCAUUCAAUGUGCUGUGAUCAAAUUGUGUUGAUAAACAUGAUUUUCUUCUAUUCAAGUAUUGUAACUAAUCCGAGUAUUCUUCCACAACCUUCAUCUUGGGUGGGGAUAAUUUAAGAGUGAUGUAGAUUCUGUCUGAAUGUAUGUACUGUCGGAAGAAUUUUUUUAUAGUAAAUAAAUUGUACUUGAUUGUUCAAAAGCUAAAGGGUCGUUGCUGAGAAUUGUAAAACCGAGGAAAUUAUAAACAUGCUCAUUUGGUUCUAGUCGUAUGCCAUGUUUUUGUAAUAAUUUCUCCUUAGAUUUAAUUUACUUGGUAGUGAUUAUUUUCUAAUGCAUUAAGCUACUUACAUGUGGUUCACAAAUGGUCUGUCCUUUCUCUUUAAACAUUUUGAACCUAUAGUUGGGAACACCUACAAUCAGUUGAGUACAUCAUCAGAGUUUUUGUGCUCAAUGUUUUCUUUGUAGCAGAAUUUACAUCAUAACAUCAACCCUGAAUGUGCCUAUCUAGAGCACAAAAGUAUUUUGAAGUUGCAAAAUUAUAUUAGGCAAACUACAUAUACACCAACUUGAUCAAUUUGCCUUUGAUGAUUUAGCAGGGAGAACUAUUUGUGUUAGACCUGAAUACUUUGUGAGGGUAAACGAGAGAUUAAAAUUGAUUUGUUUAUAAUUAAUUAUCAUGAUUUGUACUUGGUUACCAAAUUGGUUUACUGUAAAUAAAGUAAGAAUCCAGGUUAAAAAUGGAAUGUGAUUCCUAAUUAAUUUGACUUGGAGGAGUUUGGAAUUUUUACAUUUUUGGACAGGUAGGGUUAUCUAACUUAUAAAAUCGCUCUUGAAUCUCCUCUCAAGUCACCAGGGAGCGAGACCGACAACAGGGAAGAGGGAGUUGUCAGCAACAGCAAGGAGAGGAUGGUGUGGCAUCUUCAUUAGGGAGAAGGCUUGCUUUAUUGACUUGGAUUUGGAGUCUCUUGAGAAGAUGGUUUAUUGCCAUGAAUUAGAUCAGAAGGGAGUGAAUUUCUAUAAAAUGAUGAGGAGAUUUAAGGAAAGUGUUACAUUCCUAGAGUGGAGGUCCAAUUGCAGAAGUAUUCAAUAUUAGUAUUAAAAUUUUCUCACAACUUGCAUCAUGUAUGUAAGAAGACAAGCUGCAAGUAUCCCUCCUAAAGAGAUUUGACAAAUUCUAGUUACCAUAUUUUAGGUUUUAGUAUUUCCUACUUGUCAACUUUUGUGUAAUUCUGUGGGAAACUGACCCAACAUGAUGUGUUUUCCUAAGGGAUCUGACCAGCUCUAAUUUUACAAUGCUUAAAUCAUAUAAUAAAUGGUAGAUUGACUUCA
Musa acuminata AAA Group (dessert banana) is the source of this 3886-nucleotide long non-coding RNA. RefSeq lists it as uncharacterized. Lineage: Eukaryota; Viridiplantae; Streptophyta; Magnoliopsida; Zingiberales; Musaceae. The record is from RefSeq and is a predicted model, not a curated record. The transcript has 2 exons.